Molecule: long non-coding RNA, 1276 nt
Organism: Myotis myotis
Lineage: Eukaryota; Metazoa; Chordata; Mammalia; Chiroptera; Vespertilionidae
Exons: 2
Source: RefSeq, a predicted model, not a curated record
GCGAUCUCAGAGGCGCUGGACUGUGGGAGCCUGCAGGUCUUUGACACCGGGCUCUGCGUGAAGAGCCAAAAACUCACGUGGGUUCAGCCAGACGAAAGAAGUCGGAGGCUUAGGGGAACGAGCAACCCCUUAAAGGAACCAGUGUGCGCUCACAGGGCAGAGACUGUUCCUUACUCAUAUCUGUAUUUCUGUAUUAUCAAACAUAGCAUAAUGCAUAGGCCACAACAGGACUCAUUAGAAACUAUCAGGUUUGUAUUAAUUAAAUCAAAUAUAAUGUAUCCUGUUGUACAGUCUCAAAAGGCUUCAUCGACUGCAUCCCGUUUCACCGCUCAAAUUUUCCAGGUAAUCAGACAAAAGUUGUCCCAAAGAGGCCCCUUUCCUCCCCUUACCUCCCCAUGUCUAUCUGAAUCAUUACAUUCAGCCUCAACUAUUCAGCUACACAGCCGUACUCAGUACCAGAGGUAAUGUAUUACUUUCAUUGACCUAAAAAAUAAUAAUAAUAAUGAUUUAUCAGAUAAAAUUAUAAUGCAUAGUACCAUAUUAAAGCCCAAGGAACAUAAAAGAACAUGGAGAAAUAGUUCUUUUCCUUGUGGAAUUUGCAAUUCUUUUUUGGAGAUGUGAAAGAAUAUGAUGAAUCCAGGUAAGUGAUGCUCUCCCUCCUAAAUGACUUCUUUUUCCAAAUGAUCCCAAAGGGGCUCUUGAAGCCAUCUUUCUAAAACAUGGUUCCAAGCCUAAGUCAUAGUCUUGUGUAAGAAAGAAAAAAAAACAAAAGCGGUGGUUCCCCAACUCCUGAGCCACGCCCCCGCCCCCAGCUGAAUUGGUGUGACUUUCAAGCACACCUCUGUCCCUUUGUACAUGGUUUCACUCUGCCAAAAGCAUAUUUAUUCCUCUACCCUAUUUUAAGAUCAUUUAUUCAUCUUUGAGCUCCAACUAAAAUCACUUCCUUCCCUCAGUCUCAUAGCUUUUUCCCCCCACAACCCCACAAUAAUUGUUUUUAGUCCUCACAUGUCCUGAAGUUAUUGUUUAUUUCUUCCAUUUGACUGGGUCUUGUCCAUUUUUAUAUCAACCUAGCAUUGUGCUUUGAAUAUAGUACCCCAAUAUAAAUGUUUGUUGAAUAAAUUGUAAAGUAUGUGGAAGUAUCUAAAAGACAAGAUAAAUUGGGCAAACUUUAGAGAAUGGUAGGUUGAAUUCAAGUGUUGAAUGAUAGGUUUGGCAAAGGAGGUGGAGAUAAAAACAUGCCUUAAAAAUAUUAAAUUUUAAAUGUUCAUAUACAUUU